AUGACUCACCUGCUUGUUAAUUGCCUAUUUUGUCGCCAAGCGUGGCAUGAUAUGCUCUCGUGGUGUCGUUCGAGCACUUGACCGCCCGACGCCGGCGGGGACUUCAUUGACUAGUGGGCCUCAGCCUUCGAUGCAUCGCCCACUGGCCAACGCAAGGGCCUAUCAACCUUGGUCAUUCUCACUGCAUGCUGGAUUUGGAAGGCUCGGAGCGGUUGCAUGUACAACAUGGAACAUCCCUCUGUCUCUAACAUGACUCGGUCUAGACGUGAUGAGGCUCGCCGUUGGGCAUGUGCUAAGGCAGUGGCCUGGAUGUCAUCCUACCUGAGACGUAGACGUAGGUUGUAG
Molecule: ribosomal RNA, 345 nt
Filed under: Triticum aestivum (bread wheat)
Lineage: Eukaryota; Viridiplantae; Streptophyta; Magnoliopsida; Poales; Poaceae
Description: partial small subunit ribosomal RNA
Source: RNAcentral